This 325-nucleotide long non-coding RNA is filed under the name Vitis vinifera (wine grape). RNAcentral describes it as "long non-coding RNA (VVIN_LNC001148)". The record is from RNAcentral. Lineage: Eukaryota; Viridiplantae; Streptophyta; Magnoliopsida; Vitales; Vitaceae.
UUCCACUGCUCCGCCUCUCCCUUCACCGGCAGACACCGCUAAAACCCCUCCAUCAACCCUACUCCGCCGCCUCCAUCACAGCCCAGUUACCCAACUUCCCUCACCCACUCAAACCGACUCUCCAGAUCUCCCCACGCCCACUCCGCCCCCGAUCUCGCCCCUCCAUUACCAUGUCCUACAGCGCCGUCCCUGCCACCGAGCGCCUAAUCUCUGCCGCGGCCUACUGCCUCCCAUUCUUCAACGGCCUCCAGUACGGCAGAUUCCUCCUGAUGCAAUACCCAGCUCUAGGGCUGGUCUUGGAGCCCAUCCUCCCUAUCCUCUCCCU